UCGAGCUCAUCUGGAUUGCGGCUGUAUGUGUGCAAUUUGGUAUGAAUAUCGCCCUUCCCUGAGUCUCCUACCCACCAUGGGAACUUUUGGCACAUAUUCGAUCCAGAUGCAUGAUUAUUGUUGAGAUCAUUCGAUGAUUCUGUUAGCACUUUAAUAUGAACCUCUCGAAUAUUGUUAUGAUUUUGUUAGCACUACCAUACGCUGAUUAGGUCACUUGUUGAGUUAUUCCAGAACCUAUUAUGCUCUUUUGCAGAGUUUCUUUGGUUGAAACUAUCAGCUGUGCCUAUGUUUAAUAAUUCUAAAAUAUAUCAAUAUAUCUGCUCCGUCUAGAGAGGAUAGGGGGCUGCUUGGGCAUGGCGCAGCAGGGCAUGUCAAUAUAGUUUGGAGUCUGGGAAAGGGAGUGCUCUGCACCUAGGUAAAUUAGCAACACGUACUCCUACUUCUCAAAAUAUGCAUGUUUGGAGAUUAGUUUUUAUUUUCUUAAGAUCUCUAUAGAAUUUUUGUCUGGAUAACUAAAAGUAUUUGUUCAGAGUACUUUGAUUUCUUAAAAUUUUGGUCAAUCAAAGAUAUAUUCCAUUUUGUUUCAGAAUAGGAUGUACUUUCCUUACAGGAUAGACAACAUGGAUAAGAAUGUGUACAUUCAAGCUUAAGGCUUUGGACAUGUUUUAGGAUACAUUUGGUCCCUUUGAUUGCGGCUCUAUUUUUUUUUCAUAGCAAGUCUAGCAGGGUGUGCACAGGUUUUUGCAGAAGCAUAAUAUAGAUGGAAAUGUGACAAGAGUGGAGCUGCCAGUUGGGUUUUUAACCUACUUUUGAUCUUGUGUAACUACAAACUGUCCAGUCCCACAAAGAAGUUAAAUCUUUUUUUUUUGCAGAAAAUUGGCUAUAAGUUGGCUUCCAUGGACAUGCAUUUCUCAACGUAUGAUAUCCUCCCGACUCUGACUGAACUAUGUUUGAUGCAAAUUCAGACAUGCUCUGCAUUUUUUGGUAGGAAUUUUAAGCUCUAAAGACAUAAUUAAUCAGAAGAAAAAGAGAUCCUUCUGGUUUGCUAGCAAAAAUAUUUCUACACUAACUGAUGCAACUGCUGGCAGAUAGCAAUGCGGGCUGCAGAGAUCGUCUGCGUAGCUCUGCGGGCGUUGAUGUUAAUCCUGUCGAAGUAGCCGUCACAAACUCCAAGAAUUGUUUUGACUUUGCGCUCAUGAAAUGCUUUUUGUCUAUUUUUUUUUUAUUGAUCCGAAGACAGGGAUCAACUGAACUAUUUUUCAGUUUGCAUCCUCUGCUUUUUCACAGUUCUUUCAGGAUUUGCUUAUUCACAAAUGUCUGUGCUGUUUCUGCAGGCAUUAUUAUGUCACCUUCAGCAUUGGGGAUCCGGCCAAGCCUUACUUCCUGGGUAGCCCAAGUUUGGUUGACUGUUGGUUGUGCAGUCCUUUAUUCUGUAACUGUACCUUGACUCCCAAGGCAUGCAGUGUCAUUUGUUUCUUGUAAACUUGUCUUACCUUUCAUGCAUUUGUCUGUUUAGAUAUUGUAAUUUGAUUUUUUUGCUUCUCCGUAGAACAAAGCAGGAGGUAUGGCAUGUAAUCUAUUGGAAAUGUGUUGAUGUACUUCUUAAGAGGAAGGUUGUUGACAAUAACCACACGUAAUUUUCUGGCAUCUCUGCCUAUUCUCUGUACUAACACAUGCUGGU
Molecule: long non-coding RNA, 1681 nt
Filed under: Triticum aestivum (bread wheat)
Lineage: Eukaryota; Viridiplantae; Streptophyta; Magnoliopsida; Poales; Poaceae
Description: long non-coding RNA (TAES_LNC000614)
Source: RNAcentral